This 300-nucleotide ribosomal RNA is filed under the name Triticum aestivum (bread wheat). Its description in RNAcentral is "partial small subunit ribosomal RNA". The record is from RNAcentral. Lineage: Eukaryota; Viridiplantae; Streptophyta; Magnoliopsida; Poales; Poaceae.
AGGUACCCGCAGGAGUACGUCCACUUCAUACUCUCCUGGAACACCGACUGGAAGAUCCCGGAUGCGCCCAAGGACGACGAAGAGAUGUCUGAGGAGAUCCGCAGCAUGCACCUCCAUGCCAUCUCGUUCUUCACGGAGCUCCGUGCCAGGAAGCGAGCGCUGCAGGAGUUCGUCAAGGCCCAGGUCGCCGACCGUGGCUAUGCCGAGAUGCCGGAGGAGGCGACCGAACCUCGAAAGAUAUACGACGACGAGGACGGGGAGGAAUUGGUUUAUCUAGGGUUCGGUAUCUAUGAUGGAUAG